CACGUAGGGCGCGAGCGUUGUCCGGAAUUAUUGGGCGUAAAGAGCUCGUAGGCGGUUCGUCACGUCGGCUGUGAAAUCCCGAGGCUCAACCUCGGGUCUGCAGUCGAUACGGGCGGACUGGAGUACUGCAGGGGAGACUGGAAUUCCUGGUGUAGCGGUGAAAUGCGCAGAUAUCAGGAGGAACACCGGUGGCGAAGGCGGGUCUCUGGGCAGUAACUGACGCUGAGGAGCGAAAGCGUGGGGAGCGAACAGG
RNAcentral lists this ribosomal RNA (253 nucleotides) under uncultured bacterium. RNAcentral describes it as "partial 16S ribosomal RNA". It matches the Rfam family "Bacterial small subunit ribosomal RNA", at positions 524 to 776 of the family's 1533-position model. The record is from RNAcentral.